This 433-nucleotide ribosomal RNA is filed under the name uncultured bacterium. RNAcentral describes it as "partial 16S ribosomal RNA". It matches the Rfam family "Bacterial small subunit ribosomal RNA", at positions 29 to 507 of the family's 1533-position model. The record is from RNAcentral.
AACGAACGCUGGCGGCAUGCCUAACACAUGCAAGUCGAACGAGACCUUCGGGUCUAGUGGCGCACGGGUGCGUAACGCGUGGGAACCUGCCCUUAGGUUCGGAAUAACUCCCCGAAAGGGGUGCUAAUACCGGAUAAUGUCUUCGGACCAAAGAUGUAUCGCACUUGGAUGGGCCCGCGUUGGAUUAGCUAGUUGGUAGAGUAAAAGCCUACCAAGGCUACAAUCCAUAGCUGGUCUGAGGGGAUGAUCAGUCACACGGGAAAUGACACACGGCCCAGACUACUGCAGGAGGCAGCAGUGAGGAAUAUUGUACAAACGGAGGAAGCAAGAUCCAGCCAGGCCGCGUGAGUUAUGAAGGCCUUAGGGUUGUAAAGCUCUUUUACCCGGGAUGUUAAUGACAGUACCGGGCGAAUAAGCACCGGCUAACUCCGUG